UACGUAGGGCGCAAGCGUUAUCCGGAAUUAUUGGGCGUAAAGAGCUCGUAGGCGGUUUGUCGCGUCUGCUGUGAAAACUCGGGGCUUAACCCCGGGCCUGCAGUGGGUACGGGCAGACUAGAGUGCGGUAGGGGAGACUGGAAUUCCUGGUGUAGCGGUGAAAUGCGCAGAUAUCAGGAGGAACACCGGUGGCGAAGGCGGGUCUCUGGGCCGUAACUGACGCUGAGGAGCGAAAGCAUGGGGAGCGAACAGG
RNAcentral lists this ribosomal RNA (253 nucleotides) under uncultured bacterium. RNAcentral's name for it is "partial 16S ribosomal RNA". It matches the Rfam family "Bacterial small subunit ribosomal RNA", at positions 524 to 776 of the family's 1533-position model. The record is from RNAcentral.